CUACCAAGACAGUGACGGUUGACGGGGAAUCAGGGUUUGAUACCGGAGAGGGAGCCUGAGAGAUAGCUCCCACGUCCAUGGACGGCAGCAGGCGCGAAAAUUGCCCACUCUUUGCAGGAGGCAGUUAUGAGACGUGAAGAAGAAUAUUUUGUAAAUACGAAUAGGAGAAUUGGAGGGCAAGUUUGGUGCCAGCCGCCGCGGUAAUACCGACUCCAAGAGUGUGUAUGAGAGAUGCUGCAGUUAAAAAGUCCGUAGUCAUAGAAAGAUAAAUAGGGAUGUGAAGUCUCUUAAGUUAGCUAUAGAAAAGCCGAUGGGGAACAUAGUAUACCAGGGCGAGAGAUGAAAUGCCAAGACCCCUGGUGGACUAAGCGAGGCGAAAGCGAUGUUCUUGUAGGUAUUUGAUGAUCAAGGACGAAGGCUGGAGUAUCGAAAGUGAUUAGAUACCGCAGUAGUUCCAGCAGUAAAAGAUGCC
This 472-nucleotide ribosomal RNA is filed under the name Microsporidia sp. RNAcentral describes it as "bacterial SSU rRNA". It matches the Rfam family "Microsporidia small subunit ribosomal RNA", at positions 200 to 696 of the family's 1311-position model. The record is from RNAcentral. Lineage: Eukaryota; Fungi; Microsporidia.